ACUCAUGACAUUGUCCUUACAGGAGUUUCAAGUGCUAUUUUCUUUGUCCCUGGAUUUCUUCUCUUCAUCCCUGGAGUGUACCAUGUGAUAUACAUCAGCUGCGCUGUCCGAGGAAGAAGAGGCUUCAAAUUGUUCUACCUGCCUUAUUUUGAAAAAUGACAUUUUAUGAGACACUACUUUUCUCUGUUAUCUUAAAAUGAAUUGUAUUUUGUCACUUGUAACAGAUAUGUGUUGUCACAUGUUUCAUGUUGUUUUUUCUUGUCAUUGUUAUGACCACUAAUUUAACCACUCUGUCUGGAGUAUGUUUCCACUAAAUGAACUGACGUUGUUGUACAUGAAAAAGAAGGAGACUGGUCUUGCCUGUGUUUUCUUGUGUGAAUAAUGACUGUGAAAUUACAAUAAAACUUUUGUAUAUUUUAA
Paralichthys olivaceus (Japanese flounder) is the source of this 420-nucleotide non-coding RNA. The record is from RefSeq and is a predicted model, not a curated record. NCBI's taxonomy places the organism in Eukaryota, Metazoa, Chordata, Actinopteri, Pleuronectiformes, Paralichthyidae.